Molecule: unclassified non-coding RNA, 164 nt
Filed under: soil metagenome
Description: partial contains 5.8S ribosomal RNA, internal transcribed spacer 2, and large subunit ribosomal RNA
Source: RNAcentral
AACCAUUCUCACCUGCGGCUAGACCUGCGGAGGGAUCAUUUUUGGAUUCUAUCAAUUGUGCCGAUAGCAUUUAAUGCUGUCGACCAGCAAACAACAACUACUCUAUAAACAUCGCAUUGUGUCUGAUAUUGAAUUAAUACUAAACAACUUUCAACAACGGAUCU